GAGGGACCGCGAUCGGAAGAAGUACUGUCGGUUUCAUUGUGAUCAUGGUCACGAUACCGAACAAUGCAUCUGGCUUAAGAAUGAGAUAAAGACCCUGAUUCGAUGAGGCUACCUCAAAAAAUAUCGGAGGGACCUACCGACUCAACCUCCUGCCGAUCGAUGACUCCAGCCGACUGAGGAAGCUGUGAAUAACCAGCCAACUGCGGGAGUCAUCAACAUGAUUUUUAGAUGGC
Molecule: long non-coding RNA, 233 nt
Filed under: Elaeis guineensis (African oil palm)
Lineage: Eukaryota; Viridiplantae; Streptophyta; Magnoliopsida; Arecales; Arecaceae
Description: long non-coding RNA (EGUI_LNC046452)
Source: RNAcentral